GCUAGAGACUUAAAACAAGCUCACUUGGGAGGAAGUCCCACAUCUAUCCCUAUAUAUAUUACUGUUUUACUUGUGUGGUUUUUCUUUUGUGUGUUUGAUAAGUGUGUUUAAAAUUUUCAUGUGAUUCUCCACUUAAUCAAAGAAGAAAGAUGGCCAUCCAGCAAAGCUACAAGUGUUAAAAUUAUUCAACUCCAUCUAGCAACUCCAAGCUAAGUGUCUCUACAACCAUUGUAAAUAUAUAGUUUUCAUGUUUGUUUCUUCUAGACCUCUUCUUUCACCUUGCUCUCACACAAGAGACUGUGUGAAGUAAGUGUGGGGGGGAGAGUCUACUUAUCUCACAUGUUUUCUGUUUUGUUUACUUGUCAUAAGCAUUGCAUAUCCAUUUGCAUAGAAAAUCCAUAAAAAUUUGCAAAACUCCAAAAAUUACAAAAAAAAACAUUUAGUUAUAUCAUUUGCAUCUUUAGGUUUGAGUCUAGAUCAUAUAUAAUGCAUAGGUAAAAUCCCUACAACUCAUGCAAUGAACUCAUUGUUGAUACCCUUUUGAAUCAUAAUAAGUAGCUUGAGCUUAUUCUGAAUUUCUUGUAGACUUCGAGCCUUGAAAACUCCUCUUAAGACUCAUUGAAUCUUACUCUUUGAAACCAACUCCGAUCUUAAUUGACUUAAAUGAACUUAAUGCUUCUUGCUUAUGGUCUCUUGAGUACUAAAUCAUGGCUUUACACACACUUGAGCUUGUAUAAACCAUUUUACCAAUCUUUUUGACAACUCAAGUGGUAGUCCAUACCCUAAACCCUUCCCUUCUUUCAAACCAUCAUUAAUUGUUGAGUGAGGUCUUUUUGUGAAAGCUUGUCAUGUGCAAAAUCUUGAGAGUAUUAGGAGCGACAUUGAUUUGUUCUCAUCUCUUGCUAGCAUUAGGACCUCUUUUGGGCUAGCAUCUAGGAUGGUGGUUGGAAUGAUGUGCUUUAAUUAUUUUGAUCUUGGGGAUUGAAUUGGGAAAGAUUAUGUAAAGGAAAUGAAUCAAAAAGUGUGUCUAAAACAACUAGGAACAAAAAAAAAAGGAAGAUAGCUCAGAUUGUGUCAAUAAAAACCCCAAAAAGAAAAGAAGAAAAAAAAAAUAAGAGAAUGGGGAUAACAAAUUUUUGAGCUAAGAUACAUAGUUGUUAAGACAAAGAAAAGAAAAUAAAAGAGUGUUCAUUGGGUAAGAGAUGAAAAUGGGUGUAUAUUUGGGAUUUGAGAUGAAGAAAAGAAAGGGUAGAACUUAAAAAUUGUCUAGGAAAAGGGUACAAUGAUGAGAACCGAUUUAUGUAUGCAUUAAUUGCUCCUUUUCUUAGAUAAAUUUUGCAUAAUGAUCAAGCUCCUAUUCUUGAGUGUAAGUCACCAUUGCAAAAUGUAUUUGGACCCUUCUCAUUCUUCACAUUAAGCCAUUUUUUCUCACCAAACCAAAUGAUUUAGACCAAUUGGCAAUUUGCGAGAAUUCACUUAUGAUAUUUCUUAUUGAAUGUGAGAGUUGGUUGAUUUGAAGAUUCAUGAUAAUGAGUUAAAAGAGCAAAGGAAUUGAUAGGCCUAGAGAAGUUAGAGCUAAUAAAAACAUCUUGCUCUUGCUAUUUGGUAUGAUUUUGUAAGGAUAUCACAACAAUGGCAUUGAAGAGUUUCUUAAGGUCAUGAAUUUCCAUUUGUGUAUUGAAACAUCACUUCCUAUGUUCUUGAAAGUUUACUUAAGGACAAGUAAAGGACUAGUGUGGGGGAGUUGAUGUGUUGUGAUUUUGCAUAGUUUUAGCUUUGUUAUUUCAUAUAUAUUCAUGCAUUAACCUUACAUUUAUUUGCAUUUAGAGUCUAUUGCAUGUACAUUUGCAUCUUGUAGGUGUUGGAUGAAUUGUUUGGAGUUUUGGAGGUGAUUAGAGCACAAAAGGAGCUCUCGAGGAGUCUUGAACCGAACGUGUGAAAGACAAGCAUGGAUGAAGGUCUUAAAGAUAUCUUUUGAAACUUGUCUUUUGGGAAGACAUGGUAAAUUGAGUUAGCUUUACAAUGGAGGUGGUUUCAAGUCGUUUGGAGCUGUAUUGAGGGAUUUAUGAUCAAAAUACUACACACAUAUCAGUGUGUGCAACAUGGAGAAAGUGGAGAAAACUUUAAUGAGUGAGUUUUAUCUCUUUAAAGCUUGCAACAUGGGGGAUGGGUUGUCUAUCAUGAGUUUGGUGGCUCUUUUGGCCUAACUUUCUCUACCUUUUCCGAAGAGGCAAGACUACUUUGGCCAUAUGAAGGGGCAAAAGGUGUUCUAUAAUGGAAGAAAGUGGAGAAUAACUUUUAUGAGUGUGUUUUAUGCUUUAUGCUUUCACAUGAUGGAUGUGUUGUCAUCCUCCUUUACUUAGGCUAUAAAAGAGACUGCAAGGGGAAGGAGGAAGACAACACAUCCAUCAUGUGAAAGCAUAAAGCAUAAAACACACUCAUAAAAGUUAUUCUCCACUUUCUUCCAUUAUAGAACACCUUUUGCCCCUUCAUAUGGCCAAAGUAGUCUUGCCUCUUCAAAAAAGGUAGAGAAAGUUAGGCCAAAAGAGCCACCAAACUCAUGAUAGACAACCCAUCCCCCAUGUUGCAAGCUUUAAAGAGAUAAAACUCACUCAUUAAAGUUUUCUUCACUUUCUCCAUGUUGCACACACCUUUAGAAUACCAAAAAUAAGAAGAAUAAUGAAUAGUAAUGAGUUUUAUAGGUUUUAAGUGAAUAAAAAUAGUCUAAAGGCUUAAAAUUCGAAGGCUAUUGUUGAUGUUGCUAGGGUGGCCGCCAGGAAUGUCAUACUGAUAUGUGUGUAGCAUUUUGAUCAUAAAUCCCUCAAUACAGCUCCAAACGACUCGAAACCACCUCCAUUGUAAAGCUAACUCAAUUUACCAUGUCUUCCCAAAAGACAAGUUUCAAAAGAUAUCUUUAAGCCUUCAUCCAUCCUUGUCUUUCACACGUUCGGUUCAAGACUCCUCGAAAGCUCCUUUUGUGCUCUAAUCACCUCCAAAACUCCAAAAAAUUCAUCCAACACCUACAAGAUGCAAAUGUACAUGCAAUAGACUCUAAAUGCAAAUAAAUGUAAGGUUAAUGCAUGAAUAUAUAUGAAAUAACAAAGCUAAAACUAUGCAAAAUCACAACACAUCACUUUUGCUAUACCAAAGUGUGUUCCUUUAGAUUUACAAGUAACAAGAACAAUGAGUUGAUCUUGAUUGUGUUUUUUGGAUCUAUAUUUUAAAGGAUUUAAGCUAUAGUUUAUGUAUGAAAUUUAAUUUUCAGGGACUUCAAAUCAGAACUAACCAGCUUAAAAUCAAAAAUGUGUCUCAGAUCCCAGCCUCCAUGGAGGAAGAAGAUUACCCUGGAUUACGCCACUCAAUACUACAUGUCUCCCGACCUCAACCCCAGCUCUCCUGUCCACAUCACCCAUAACAGCAGCCUCCACAUCCACUUCCCCAACCCCCUUGCUUUUUGCUGGUAACAACAUCCACAUGUGUCCCUUGUCCACAACACCACCAUCCACUCCUCGCAAGUUCAAGACAACCACAUCCACACACCCCAUCUGUCCACAAUACCCAAGCAAUACACACAUAGUGAUCUUGCCCCUCACAUGUCUGGACAUCCACAAAACCAUAAUCUGUCAUUCUCACCAUGCACCUCAGCUAUCCUGAUGAUUAACAGUCUCUUUUACAUCAUGCUCUCUUUGGUAAUCUCUGUGUCCACAUCUACGCAAAACACUUUUUCAUGGAUCGAUUCGAGAUCUUGCAGUGGUUGAAUCUGAAUUCUAUUUAGCUGAUUGAGGGAGAGCUUGCUACUUUCAAGUCCAUGACUUGGUUUGCCAAACCCCAGGUCUGCUCCUUUUGCCCUUUAACAAAAACAAUGGUUAGCAGCUUUUCAAACUUGAUAACAACGAAACUGAACAGACACAGAACUCCAACAAACAGUUUGCACCCAUUUAUGUUUUUUUCCUUGUGUGUGUGUGAUGGUAAGUUAUCAGUGCUUUGACUUGUGCUAGGAGAGGGUGGUUGAAUGAUUACAUCUUUACUUCUCAGCCCCGUCUUCUUGGUCAAAGCAACAGGGUACGGUUUGCUUCUUACUCUAGAGAUCGUGAUCAUGGGACUGGCAGUUCUAUUCAGGAUCAACAGUGUAAAACAGCAGACAACAACGGUGGUGUUACAGAAAAUUGCGAUCAAGACAUGAAUGGUUGAUGUAAGAGAAAAGGCUGAUGGAGUAGGAAACUCAACUGAUUUAGACAUUUAUACCACAGCACAAACCAAAGACAAAAAACUGAUGGUAGUAAGAUGAAAUCUUCCUGAAAACAACAAACUGAAGGAUUCAACUCCAGAUACAGGUAAGGUCAAACAAACAGAUGGAGUUUGAUCCAGUUAAGCAGCAUAGGCAUUUUUGUCCCUGGAUCUGGUCGACGAGUAGAAAAGGCCCUGGAUGGAGGCAGACUCUAUCUGCAUUACAACGCCAUAAGGGAUCUUGUCAGACUCCACUAUCACCCUCUUCCGUUCUCAAGGUAGAUGAUCCUUUAAUAUCUGUUCGGAACUUUAUGCAUGACUUCUCGCUGAGGCACAGAAGAUUUUGUUACUGAAAAGACUUGAGUGCAAUGUAAAACUUGAAAAACUGUUAACAUUCAUGUUGUUCUGAGUUAUUUGUUGAUUUCUCAAAAAUUAAAACCUAUGUUGUCUAACCCAUUUGAAAUUCCUGGAGCUUAAAAUCAUGUGUAGAUACACUCAUAACUUCAUUCGUAACAUUGCUCUUGUAA
This is a long non-coding RNA of Brassica napus (rape), 4754 nucleotides long. RefSeq lists it as uncharacterized. NCBI's taxonomy places the organism in Eukaryota, Viridiplantae, Streptophyta, Magnoliopsida, Brassicales, Brassicaceae. The record is from RefSeq and is a predicted model, not a curated record. The transcript is spliced from 6 exons.